AAUGAACGCUGGCGGCGCGCCUAAUACAUGCAAGUCGAGCGAGAAGACGUAGCAAUACGUUUGUAAAGCGGCGAACGGGUGAGGAAUACAUGGGUAACCUACCCUCGAGUGGGGAAUAACUAGCCGAAAGGUUAGCUAAUACCGCGUACGCUCCUUGGACUUCGGUUCAGGGAGGAAAGCGAUACCGUGGGUAUCGCGCUCUUGGUUGGGCUCAUGUCCUAUCAGCUUGUUGGUGAGGAACGGCUCACCAAGGCUUCGACGGGUAGCUGGUCUGAGAGGACGAUCAGCCACGACUGGCACUGCGACACGGGCCAGACUCCUACGGGAGCAGCAGUAAGGAAUAUUGCGCAAUGGGCGAAAGCCUGACGCAGCGACGCCGCGUGGGGGAU
This 389-nucleotide ribosomal RNA is filed under the name uncultured bacterium. RNAcentral's name for it is "bacterial SSU rRNA". It matches the Rfam family "Bacterial small subunit ribosomal RNA", at positions 29 to 409 of the family's 1533-position model. The record is from RNAcentral.